RNAcentral lists this ribosomal RNA (245 nucleotides) under uncultured bacterium. RNAcentral describes it as "partial 16S ribosomal RNA". It matches the Rfam family "Bacterial small subunit ribosomal RNA", at positions 524 to 768 of the family's 1533-position model. The record is from RNAcentral.
UACGAAGGGGGCUAGCGUUGUUCGGAAUUACUGGGCGUAAAGCGAACGUAGGCGGUGUUCCAUGUCAGAGGUGAAAGCCUGGGGCUCAACUCCAGAAUUGCCUUUGAAACGGGAACGCUUGAGUCCGAGAGAGGAUGGCGGAAUUCCUAGUGUAGAGGUGAAAUUCGUAGAUAUUAGGAAGAACACCGGUGGCGAAGGCGGCCAUCUGGCUCGGUACUGACGCUCAGGUUCGAAAGCGUGGGGAG